AUGGCUCAGGACAACGCUGGCGGCGUGCUUAACACAUGCAAGUCGAGCGAUGAAGCUCCUUCGGGAGUGGAUUAGCGGCGGACGGGUGAGUAACACGUGGGUAACCUGCCUCAUAGAGGGGAAUAGCCUUUCGAAAGGAAGAUUAAUACCGCAUAAGAUUGUAGUACCGCAUGGUACAGCAAUUAAAGGAGUAAUCCGCUAUGAGAUGGACCCGCGUCGCAUUAGCUAGUUGGUGAGGUAACGGCUCACCAAGGCGACGAUGCGUAGCCGACCUGAGAGGGUGAUCGGCCACAUUGGGACUGAGACACGGCCCAGACUCCUACGGGAGGCAGCAGUGGGGAAUAUUGCACAAUGGGGGAAACCCUGAUGCAGCAACGCCGCGUGAGUGAUGACGGCCUUCGGGUUGUAAAACUCUGUCUUUGGGGACGAUAAUGACGGUACCCAAGGAGGAAGCCACGGCUAACUACGUGCCAGCAGCCGC
RNAcentral lists this ribosomal RNA (481 nucleotides) under uncultured bacterium. RNAcentral's name for it is "bacterial SSU rRNA". It matches the Rfam family "Bacterial small subunit ribosomal RNA", at positions 19 to 518 of the family's 1533-position model. The record is from RNAcentral.